Molecule: long non-coding RNA, 836 nt
Filed under: Setaria italica (foxtail millet)
Lineage: Eukaryota; Viridiplantae; Streptophyta; Magnoliopsida; Poales; Poaceae
Description: long non-coding RNA (SITA_LNC001345)
Source: RNAcentral
AACUGCUCACGGGGCGCGUCGCGCCAUCUCCAUGCUCUCCGGACCUCUGCCGAAGACGAUAGCCUCUACACGUCCCCCACGGACCGUAACGCCAUGGAUGGAUCGUGAAGCUCCGGCCACCGCACGGCCCAUCCGUCAGAAGCAGAGAGCAGGGGAGGCAGCCGUGUCUUUCAGCUGAGACGCCUCCGGCCCGACCCCGCUGCGGCUUCGUCUACCUCACGCCCUCCAGCUCCAGGCCCCGGACCCGGCCACCCAGCACUCCGGCGGUCGCCUCCCCUUGCCGCCCUGCGUGGCACCAACAUUGAAGCGGGUGCCGUGGUUUUCAGAUCCCCAUCUCCAUUGAAUGAACUGUGAACGGAUCACACAUCCCUUUCACGGCCUCGACAGCCGUCGCAUGCGGGCGUUGACUUGGUCAGCGACUGUUCGUCCUGCGAGGGGCAGAUGCAUAGUGAAGGUGACUGUGGAGGAUGUCAUUCGGGUUUCUGGUGCUUACGUUGCAGCAAGGAGAGGUUCAAAUCACCAAAUCGGGGCGGGGUUUAUGGGUGCCCCGCCUCUGCAGGACUCUCGCUGUUGAGAAAGCGUCUUUACCAGGAAAUGGUACUAAAGAAGAAUUAGUACUGGUUGUUUAUACCAAUCGGUACUAAAUUAGCUAUCACGCCUCGUGUGUUCGAGGCAAAUUUAAUACCAGUUGGUACUAAAGAUCUUUUUUCUUUUCUGUUUCUUUUCUUAUUUUCUUUUCUGUUUCUUUAUUCUAUAUUAGUAUUUCGUAUUUGUAUCCUUUAUGUAUACUAGUUAUAAUACGCUAAUAUAUAUAAAGUUGUAUUUGAUCUAUAAUA